AACACAUGCAAGUCGAGCGGAAACGAGUUAUCUGAACCUUCGGGGAACGAUAACGGCGUCGAGCGGCGGACGGGUGAGUAAUGCCUAGGAAAUUGCCCUGAUGUGGGGGAUAACCAUUGGAAACGAUGGCUAAUACCGCAUGAUGCCUACGGGCCAAAGAGGGGGACCUUCGGGCCUCUCGCGUCAGGAUAUGCCUAGGUGGGAUUAGCUAGUUGGUGAGGUAAGGGCUCACCAAGGCGACGAUCCCUAGCUGGUCUGAGAGGAUGAUCAGCCACACUGGAACUGAGACACGGUCCAGACUCCUACGGGAGGCAGCAGUGGGGAAUAUUGCACAAUGGGCGCAAGCCUGAUGCAGCCAUGCCGCGUGUAUGAAGAAGGCCUUCGGGUUGUAAAGUACUUUCAGUCGUGAGGAAGGCGUUGUCGUUAAUAGCGGCAUCGUUUGACGUUAGCGACAGAAGAAGCACCGGCUAACUCCGUGCCAUCAGCCGCGGUAAUACGGAGGGUGCGAGCGUUAAUCGGAAUUACUGGGCGUAAAGCGCAUGCAGGUGGUUUGUUAAGUCAGAUGUUAAAGCCCGGGGCUCAACCUCGGAAUAGCAUUNGAAACUGGCAGACUAGAGUUCUGUAGAGGGGGG
Molecule: ribosomal RNA, 632 nt
Filed under: uncultured gamma proteobacterium TIHP302-13
Lineage: Bacteria; Pseudomonadati; Pseudomonadota; Gammaproteobacteria
Description: bacterial SSU rRNA
Rfam family: Bacterial small subunit ribosomal RNA
Source: RNAcentral